Non-coding RNA from Paramuricea clavata, 729 nucleotides. NCBI's taxonomy places the organism in Eukaryota, Metazoa, Cnidaria, Anthozoa, Malacalcyonacea, Plexauridae. The record is from the annotation of a GenBank genome assembly.
GUCUAGGAACAGUGUGAAUGUUAGUUGAAUUUGGUAUGUGUGCUUUGUGGUGGGUGAAAAUGAUAUGAUUCUAAUGCGUGAUGUGUUGAUUUUUGGUUUCGGAAUGUAAAAAUUGAAAUUUACUUACUCGUAUAACUGUGGUGAACCGUACUCUGCGUGUAGGCAAGGCGAAAAGGAAUUCUUGGGAGGAGAGGGGUUCUAAAAUUACGCCCGGGGGGGGGGAGGCGAAAGACGAAUCCUAAAAUGUAGGGGGUUUGAUUGGGGUGGGCUCAGUUAGGGUAGGGUUAGUUGAUAGGGUAGGGUUUGGAUUAUAAGGGUUGGGAAUAAGUUUUUGGGUUAAGGUUCCGGUGGGGAUUGGGUUAGGUUUGGGAUUACUGCUCAGAAUAGUGGAUUGAAAAGUGUUGAAUAGGGAGUGGGCCUGGGAAGUUUCGAGUGGGUUGAGUGUAUCGAUGUUGUGUGAAUGUGUAUCUGAUGAAAGUGGAAACAUCGGUUGAAAAUAAUAUUGAAAGUUGUUUCAAAUGGAUAGCGAAGGAUAUAUUGAUGUUUUGAUAGCUUCGUGGCAGAGUUUGUGACAGAAGAUUUUUUGCCACAAAAUUUGUCUUCCGUCUACUUCUCGUUCUUUGAAAGGUGAACGAUAGUUCGAAAUGGAUGUGACGGUGGUGAGUGUUAAGUAGUGUGAAUGCUCCGUGGCACAGUUUGUGACAAAAAGUUUUCUGCCACGAAAUUUGU